Molecule: ribosomal RNA, 253 nt
Filed under: uncultured bacterium
Lineage: Bacteria
Description: partial 16S ribosomal RNA
Rfam family: Bacterial small subunit ribosomal RNA
Source: RNAcentral
UACGUAGGGUGCGAGCGUUGUCCGGAAUUAUUGGGCGUAAAGAGCUUGUAGGCGGUUUGUCGCGUCUGCCGUGAAAAUCCGGGGCUCAACCCCGGACUUGCGGUGGGUACGGGCAGACUAGAGUGUGGUAGGGGAGACUGGAAUUCCUGGUGUAGCGGUGAAAUGCGCAGAUAUCAGGAGGAACACCGAUGGCGAAGGCAGCUCUCUGGGACGGUACUGACGCUGAGACGCGAAAGCGUGGGGAGCGAACAGG